GACGAACGCUGGCGGCGUGCUUAACACAUGCAAGUCGAACGGAAAGGCCCUGCUUUUGUGGGGUGCUCGAGUGGCGAACGGGUGAGUAACACGUGAGUAACCUGCCCUUGACUUUGGGAUAACUUCAGGAAACUGGGGCUAAUACCGGAUAGGAGCUCCUGCUGCAUGGUGGGGGUUGGAAAGUUUCGGCGGUUGGGGAUGGACUCGCGGCUUAUCAGCUUGUUGGUGGGGUAGUGGCUUACCAAGGCUUUGACGGGUAGCCGGCCUGAGAGGGUGACCGGCCACAUUGGGACUGAGAUACGGCCCAGACGCCUACGUGAGGCAGCAGUGGGGAAUAUUGCACAAUGGGCGGAAGCCUGAUGCAGCAACGCCGCGUGCGGGAUGACGGCCUUCGGGUUGUAAACCGCUUUCGCCUGUGACGAAGCGUGAGUGACGGUAAUGGGUAAAGAAGCACCGGCUAACUACGUG
Molecule: ribosomal RNA, 468 nt
Filed under: uncultured bacterium
Lineage: Bacteria
Description: partial 16S ribosomal RNA
Rfam family: Bacterial small subunit ribosomal RNA
Source: RNAcentral